AGGCGGGCGAGGUUGCUUCGGUAACUGAGCUAGCGGCGGACGGGUGAGUAAUGCUUAGGAAUCUGCCUAUUAGUGGGGGACAACAUUCCGAAAGGAAUGCUAAUACCGCAUACGCCCUACGGGGGAAAGCAGGGGAUCUUCGGACCUUGCGCUAAUAGAUGAGCCUAAGUCAGAUUAGCUAGUUGGUGGGGUAAAGGCCUACCAAGGCGACGAUCUGUAGCGGGUCUGAGAGGAUGAUCCGCCACACUGGGACUGAGACACGGCCCAGACUCCUACGGGAGGCAGCAGUGGGGAAUAUUGGACAAUGGGCGCAAGCCUGAUCCAGCCAUGCCGCGUGUGUGAAGAAGGCCUUUUGGUUGUAAAGCACCUUAAGCGAGGAGGAGGCUACUUGGAUUAAUACUCUGGGAUAGUGGACGUUACUCGCAGAAUAAGCACCGGCUAACUCUGUGCCAGCAGCCGCGGUAAUACAGAGGGUGCGAGCGUUAAUCGGAUUUACUGGGCGUAAAGCGUGCGUAGGCGGCUUCUUAAGUCGGAUGUGAAAUCCCUGAGCUUAACUUAGGAAUUGCAUUCGAUACUGGGAAGCUAGAGUAUGGGAGAGGAUGGUAGAAUUCCAGGUGUAGCGGUGAAAUGCGUAGAGAUCUGGAGGAAUACCGAUGGCGAAGGCAGCCAUCUGGCCUAAUACUGACGCUGAGGUACGAAAGCAUGGGGAGCAAACAGGAUUAGAUACCCUGGUAGUCCAUGCCGUAA
Molecule: ribosomal RNA, 747 nt
Filed under: uncultured bacterium
Lineage: Bacteria
Description: bacterial SSU rRNA
Rfam family: Bacterial small subunit ribosomal RNA
Source: RNAcentral